This 562-nucleotide long non-coding RNA is filed under the name Mustela putorius furo (domestic ferret). Its description in RNAcentral is "lncRNA (ENSMPUG00000031577.1)". The record is from RNAcentral. Lineage: Eukaryota; Metazoa; Chordata; Mammalia; Carnivora; Mustelidae.
CUCACACAAGCAGGGGGAAGGUCAGACGGUAAGAGAGAGAGGGAGAGAGAAAAUCUCAAACAGAAUCUGCACUGAGUGUGGGGCCCAACACAGGGCUCAAUCUCAUAACUCCGAGAUCAUGACCUGAACUGAAAUCAAACAGCUGGGCACUCAACCAACUGAGUCACCCAGGCGCCCUGAGCCUCUUGAAUUUUUUUAAAAACAAAUCUCUCCAGAUAACAUGGAGGCUCCUAGGACAUUCAUCAUCUUCUGUGACUCCCACUGUGUUUGGCUUGGUGUCAACUUGGAUACCAGCUCCUAGAGGGCAGGGAGGGUCUCGGCCACCUCUGCAGCCCCGCAGCUCUGGCAGUAGCUCCCGUGCAUGGCAGAUGGACACUGACUGCUUAGAGAACUGCAUGAAUAAACUAGAGUUGAGAAGAAGUCAUCGGAGAGGAUGAAAGAUGAUCCAGAAAGCAUGGUAUCCUGGACGUCUACGGAAGAAUCUUAAGGAAGAAGUGAUCAACGUUGUCAAAUACUGCAGAGAGAUGGGAACAAAAAAGUCAUCCUGUGCUUUUUGGCUGGU